This 467-nucleotide ribosomal RNA is filed under the name uncultured bacterium. RNAcentral's name for it is "partial 16S ribosomal RNA". It matches the Rfam family "Bacterial small subunit ribosomal RNA", at positions 28 to 506 of the family's 1533-position model. The record is from RNAcentral.
GACGAACGCUGGCGGCGUGCUUAACACAUGCAAGUCGAACGGAAAGGCCCUGCUUUUGUGGGGUGCUCGAGUGGCGAACGGGUGAGUAACACGUGAGUAACCUGCCCUUGACUUUGGGAUAACUUCAGGAAACUGGGGCUAAUACCGGAUAGGAGCUCCUGCUGCAUGGUGGGGGUUGGAAAGUUUCGGCGGUUGGGGAUGGACUCGCGGCUUAUCAGCUUGUUGGUGGGGUAGUGGCUUACCAAGGCUUUGACGGGUAGCCGGCCUGAGAGGGUGACCGGCACAAUGGGGACUGGGAAACGGCCCAGACUCCUACGGGAGGAAGCGGUGGGGAAUAUUGCACAAUGGGCGGAGGCCGGAGGCAGCAACGCGGGGUGGGGGAUGACGGCCUUCGGGUUGUAAACCGCUUUGGCCUGUGACGAGGCGUAAGGGACGGAAAUGGGUAAAGAAGCACCGGCUAACUACUG